RNAcentral lists this ribosomal RNA (628 nucleotides) under Klebsiella oxytoca 10-5243. RNAcentral's name for it is "bacterial LSU rRNA". It matches the Rfam family "Bacterial large subunit ribosomal RNA", at positions 1 to 611 of the family's 2925-position model. The record is from RNAcentral. Lineage: Bacteria; Pseudomonadati; Pseudomonadota; Gammaproteobacteria; Enterobacterales; Enterobacteriaceae.
UUAAGCGACUAAGCGUACACGGUGGAUGCCCUGGCAGUCAGAGGCGAUGAAGGACGUGCUAAUCUGCGAAAAGCGUCGGUAAGGUGAUAUGAACCGUUAUAACCGGCGAUGUCCGAAUGGGGAAACCCAGUGCAAUUCGUUGCACUAUCGUUAACUGAAUACAUAGGUUAACGAGGCGAACCGGGGGAACUGAAACAUCUAAGUACCCCGAGGAAAAGAAAUCAACCGAGAUUCCCCCAGUAGCGGCGAGCGAACGGGGAGCAGCCCGGAGUCUGAAUCAGCUUGUGUGUUAGUGGAAGCGUCUGGAAAGUCGCAGGGUACAGGGUGAUACUCCCGUACACUAAAACACACAGGUUGUGAACUCGAAGAGUAGGGCGGGACACGUGGUAUCCUGUCUGAAUAUGGGGGGACCAUCCUCCAAGGCUAAAUACUCCUGACUGACCGAUAGUGAACCAGUACCGUGAGGGAAAGGCGAAAAGAACCCCGGCGAGGGGAGUGAAAAAGAACCUGAAACCGUGUACGUACAAGCAGUAGGAGCCCCACCACCAAAGCGUUUCGCUUUGCGUGGUGCGCAAAAUGCGUAACGACAGCAUGAUGGACGGUUAACGGAGCGUCAGCGACGUUCAAC